GAUAGGUUCCAAGCAGGAGAUGGAUGCGACCCGGCUCAGGUGUUCACUGGCGCCCCCUGGGGGCUGCGGGAGAAGUAGACGUCAGAGCGAGGGCAGGAGCCUGGGACCAGGGCAGAGAGGCUGCGCUGUCAAGGUUAGGGAAGCUGGGCUGGACCAGGUCGCGGCCAUGGAGGUGGGGAGACGUGAAGUCCAAGAUUUGGAUGGGAUCUUCCUGACCCAGGGUCUCCUGCAUUGGCAGAUGGAUUUCACUGAGCCACCAAGGAAGCCCAACUCACAUUUCGAGGCGCUUAUUUCAGGCUGGAAACCUCACAUUGCCAGAGAUGGAGCCACCAGAUACCAAGGAAACAUUGGCUGAAAGAAUUUGAAUUCAGAAGAUGGAGCCCAUUGGGAAAAAAAAAAA
Bos taurus (domestic cattle) is the source of this 400-nucleotide long non-coding RNA. The record is from Ensembl. NCBI's taxonomy places the organism in Eukaryota, Metazoa, Chordata, Mammalia, Artiodactyla, Bovidae.